This is a long non-coding RNA of Peromyscus eremicus (cactus mouse), 2725 nucleotides long. RefSeq lists it as uncharacterized. The transcript has 2 exons. The record is from RefSeq and is a predicted model, not a curated record. NCBI's taxonomy places the organism in Eukaryota, Metazoa, Chordata, Mammalia, Rodentia, Cricetidae.
GAUAGAUAGAUAGAUAGACAGACAGGUGACAAACAAUACAUGCCAUACUAUUCUGUCAUUCUGAUCAUGUGGAGACAAAGGAACAAACUGGGAGGAGGAAAUUCUCUCUUUUCACCUACCUUGUCAUCUCAGUGUCCCUUCCCUGGUACUUUUCAUGAUCAACUUGAGGAUUUGUCUUAGAGGGAUUUUUAUGGUUCUGAAAUUUAGAGAACAAUGUAUAUCAAAGUGCACUGUGAAUGAUUUGUGCAGACAUUUGUUUCAAAUGAUGGAUGCUCUUAAUUAAAGCUAACCCUGGGGGUAAGAUUCUUGAUGGAAGGACUGUUAUCUGUCUAGCUGGAAGAAACUGCUUGCCCAGAGUAAUAGACAGGAAAAGGCAAAAGUGAAGUUACUCUGCCAUGCAGGUGAGUGAGUUCAUAAUGAAAACCACCACUGAAUACUAAAAAUCACCAAGCAAGAUUCCAGGGUGAGUUAAUGAAAUGGCAUGUUCCUUCUUGGCAUUGUGCCUCUGAGAAUCUAUCUUGUGUCUCUCGUGCAUUUUUCUGUUGUAAAACUAUGGGUUACUAGUGCUAUGUAUGGCCCUGUGGACAGUCCAGGUUCUAGCAUUUAAUCAGUUAUAGUAGUGUUCACACACAUCUAAAUAUAAUAUUACAAGUGUCAAAAUAAAAUUUCUAAGGUACUUCAGAAGUUAACCUUCUAAAUCCUAAAGUCUCAAAGACUUAAUGAAAAACAUUCCAAUUAGAUGUAUUAACGUAUACAUUUUAGUCUCUCAAUCCUUUUUAAACAACAAUUACUAAAAAGAUGAUGCAAAAUAAUGUGCACAGAACAGGAUAUACUAAUGUUAAUGUUUAAAUUCAUAAUCGCUCUAAAUGUUGUAUUUCAGGACCUAUAUGAAUGCAACUACUCACUCAGAAAUUAUACCCAGACGUUUGGCUUCAUUUCAUAUUUGAUGGUGCUCAGAAUAUGCUAUCUCAAAACAUGGUGACUAGUCAUAGGAAGCGUUUGAGCAGAAGAAUGAAUGUGAGGAAGGACUCUGCUUUUACCCUGAAGCUGCUCAUAAAACCUAGAAAGGGCUUCCUGACAUUUCCUGAAACAGGUCAGAAGCACCACAUGUCCCUCCAUGGAGGAAAGAAAGGAGCAGCCUCAUAGCUACAGACUGAUGAAGGCACACACAGGGGACAGGAGCCAAAAGCCCUCACUAUUUGCCAUUCACCUGCUUGGCUCAUAAUGGUUUUAUUUUGUCACACACUCUAUAACAUUCCACUUGCCAUCAACUCCAGUAUAAAAUCUCAGGUCUCAGCACUUGUUGAGGGCUUUCCUUCCUUGGGAAGGAUCUGGUGUUGUGAAAGUUUGUACUAGGUAAGUCUCCAUGCUUUUCUCCUCUCUGUCUCUGCUUUGUUAUGGAGUCCCCAACAAGGGACUAAAUGUGGGUAGAAGGAAAAAGUAUUUUUCCUCCUGCAUUCACUAUUUUUCUUCCAAAACUCUUAUUUGUCAACCAAAUGAUAACACUCUCAUUUUUUAAAAAAAGUUCUCUCUUCUUCAAAAAACGUCUUCUAUUAGAGCCAACAAAUAAAACUGUUUUAUUCUCCCUUCUAAGGAUACCUUGGAGGAAUGGGAAUUUGAAUGGAACAGGCCCUCAUCAGCUCAUAUGGAGUGGCAUUAUUAGGAGGUGGGGCUUUGUUGGAGUAAGUGUGGCCUUGUUGGAGGUUGUAUGUCACUGUGGGGGAGGGCUUUGAGGCCUCUUAUGCUAAAGGCACUCCUGGUGUUUCAGAGCACUUUUGUUGCCUGUGGGGUACAGAUGUAGCUCCUUCUCCACUCCCAGCUCCUUCUCCAUGUCCUGCCAUGUCCUGCAUGCCUCCAUGUCCUGCCAUGAUGACAAUGGACUAAACCUCUGAAACUGGAAGCCACAGCUGAUUAAAGGUUUUCCUUUAUAAAAGUUGCUGUGGUUAUGGUGUCUCAUCACAAUAAUACAAACCCUAAUUAAGACAGAAGGUAUCCAAAAUAAUUACAGAGCCCACAGGGAAUAAAUAAACAGUAAUUGAUUCUUCUUAAAAUUAAUUAAAUGAUUCAAUGCCAGCCUGGUCUACAGAGUGAGUUCCAGGAUAGACUCCAAAGUUAUACAAAUAAAUCUUGUCUUAAAACAAAACAAAACAAAACAAAACUUAAGUAAUGAAGUCACACAACUUCCUAAUUGUUCAUGUUUCAGUUAGGUUCCAGGGUACUUCACAGUCAAAUAUUUAUUCACCAAAGAAAGAUAAUGAAAUGCCACUUAAGAUUACCUUUUCCUGAAUAUGAUGUAAACAUUUGUGGAAAUGCUCAAUAAUAAUCACAGGCAUUAUGAAAUUCUUCCUAAGGAAGGUAAAAGGAAGAUAGUUAAAAGCAUAAGUGAAUGAACUGAGCCAGGCUGACCAUCCGUGCCUGCAGAAAAACAUCUUCUAGUCCAAAGUCAAAAAUCUGAAUUGUGGUGACAGUGACUGUCUCACACUUUUCUUUGAAAAUAUAAAGGGAUCCUGCCCAGAGCUCCCAUCUGGACCAGAGAAACAUGGUCCAUGAUGUUCCAUUUUUUCUUACAAGAUUUCAGAGACUUGAACUUAAUAUACAAUAUCAUAUCAAAUGUGGACAUGUUUUCUCAAAGAAGGAUCCCCAUUGUAUUAUUUUUAUACUCCGAGGAUGAUGUGUAAUACCAAUCACCAAAGCAUUAGCAAAUAAAGACUUUUCCCACACACUG